RNAcentral lists this unclassified non-coding RNA (618 nucleotides) under Hevea brasiliensis (rubber tree). The record is from RNAcentral. Lineage: Eukaryota; Viridiplantae; Streptophyta; Magnoliopsida; Malpighiales; Euphorbiaceae.
CAUUCCCAACUUCUAGAAAUGUCGGAUCAUCCUUCACAGAUAUCCCCAACUCCAACCUUUCACGGGGCGGCGCCUCAAGAUCUAAAUGCAAAAUAUACUGAUUUCUUGGAUGAUACACUGCUUGCAAAGUCCUCAUCAUUCUACGACUAUCGCCCUUUGUCCCUGAGAUGAGAUAAGCUAAUCUAGGGGCCUCCAAUUUUGAAUAACCACUUGUGUUAAACGACUUGUUUAAUUCGGAUUCAACGAAAUACCCACUGGCGUCCUCUGAUCUUGAAAAUGAAAUAAUGUCAAAUGGCAACUGAUCUCCCCCAUAAGAAGAGGUAAAUAGCCCAAAAGUAGCUGACAGAAAUAGAGUCAAAGAUACAAGGAGGCUUGCAAAAAAUGGAAUAAGCCAUUUUCUAUCACUAAACACCCUUCCUGAGUGGGAAUUGGCAUUUUUUCUCAUACUCAUUAAUCGGUUUUUCAUGGACAGCAAUUCCCUCUAGCUGAAAACUCGGAGGUGUACGAACUAGCUCAGAAAACCGAAAAUGCUAGCAAGCAAAGUGGAACCCAGCAAUCUAGUUAAGAGAGAAGAGGCAAAGAGAAGAAAGGAGGUUCUGUAACUGAACCAAAGCCUCC